This 446-nucleotide ribosomal RNA is filed under the name uncultured bacterium. RNAcentral describes it as "partial 16S ribosomal RNA". It matches the Rfam family "Bacterial small subunit ribosomal RNA", at positions 338 to 795 of the family's 1533-position model. The record is from RNAcentral.
CCUACGGGGGACAGCAGUCGAGAAUCAUUCACAAUGGGGGAAACCCUGAUGGUGCGACGCCGCGUGGGGGAAUGAAGGUCUUCGGAUUGUAAACCCCUGUCAUGUGGGAGCAAAUUAAAAAGAUAGUACCACAAGAGGAAGAGACGGCUAACUCUGUGCCAGCAGCCGCGGUAAUACAGAGGUCUCAAGCGUUGUUCGGAAUCACUGGGCGUAAGGCGUGCGUAGGCUGUUUCGUAAGUCGUGUGUGAAAGGCGCGGGCUCAACCCGCGGACGGCACAUGAUACUGCGAGACUAGAGUAAUGGAGGGGGAACCGGAAUUCGCGGUGUAGCAGUGAAAUGCGUAGAUAUCGAGAGGAACACUCGUGGCGAAGGCGGGUUCCUGGACAUUAACUGACGCUGAGGCACGAAGGCCAGGGGAGCGAAAGGGAUUAGAUACCCGGGUAGUC